Molecule: small nucleolar RNA, 132 nt
Filed under: Castor canadensis (American beaver)
Lineage: Eukaryota; Metazoa; Chordata; Mammalia; Rodentia; Castoridae
Description: Small nucleolar RNA SNORA38 (ENSCCNG00000027249.1)
Rfam family: Small nucleolar RNA SNORA38
About the family: ACA38 is a member of the H/ACA class of snoRNA that guide the sites of modification of uridines to pseudouridines.
Source: Rfam by way of RNAcentral
CCCUCUUACAGAGGCAUGUCUUUGGUUCCCUGUCUUUGGACACAUAAGAAUUGAAGGCAAAGAAAUGUGGAUUUUGGAGAAAUCUGGGGCCAGCUUGAUCCCUGUAGGCUCAAGAGAAACUAUACUACAUAG